UAGCACUGUAUAUGGGUGGGAAUGGCCGAAAGGCCUCCCUACGCUCCUGUUAUGCGUGGUAGCCCUAAAUACGGUGCUUUU
The submitters of this non-coding RNA (81 nucleotides) gave its source as unclassified sequences. The record is from Rfam.